Molecule: ribosomal RNA, 493 nt
Filed under: uncultured bacterium
Lineage: Bacteria
Description: partial 16S ribosomal RNA
Rfam family: Bacterial small subunit ribosomal RNA
Source: RNAcentral
AUUGAACGCUGGCGGCAUGCCUUACACAUGCAAGUCGAACGGUAACAGGUUAAGCUGACGAGUGGCGAACGGGUGAGUAAUGCAUCGGAACGUGCCCGAUCGUGGGGGAUAACGCAGCGAAAGCUGCGCUAAUACCGCAUACGAUCUGAGGAUGAAAGCGGGGGAUCGUAAGGCCUCGCGCGAUCGGAGCGGCCGAUGUCAGAUUAGGUAGUUGGUGGGGUAAAGGCCCACCAAGCCGACGAUCUGUAGCUGGUCUGAGAGGACGACCAGCCACACUGGGACUGAGACACGACCCAGACUCCUACGGGAGGCAGCAGUGGGGAAUUUUGGACAAUGGGCGAAAGCCUGAUCCAGCAAUGCCGCGUGCAGGAAGAAGGCCUUCGGGUUGUAAACUGCUUUUGUACGGAGCGAAAGGGCCCUUUCUAAUACAAGGGGCUCAUGACGGUACCGUAAGAAUAAGCACCGGCUAACUACGUGCCAGCCGCCGCAGUAA